Small nucleolar RNA from Pteropus vampyrus (large flying fox), 130 nucleotides. The record is from Ensembl. NCBI's taxonomy places the organism in Eukaryota, Metazoa, Chordata, Mammalia, Chiroptera, Pteropodidae.
AGGUCUUUUCAAAGAGAGCUAUGAGACCAAAGUCAGGAGCUCUUAAUGCUGUGACCAAAGACUGAAGUUCUCCAUAAGAUGUAAUAGUUAGUUGCUCAACAGUGCUAUGUUUUCCUGAGAAGAUACGAGA